RNAcentral lists this ribosomal RNA (874 nucleotides) under uncultured bacterium. RNAcentral's name for it is "bacterial SSU rRNA". It matches the Rfam family "Bacterial small subunit ribosomal RNA", at positions 1 to 893 of the family's 1533-position model. The record is from RNAcentral.
UUAGAGUUUGAUCCUGGCUCAGAGUGAACGCUGGCGGCGUGCCUAAGACAUGCAAGUCGUACGAGAAAGGGGCUUCGGCCCUGAGUAAAGUGGCGCAAGGGUGAGUAAUAGUUAGGUAACGUACCGUCUCGCUGGGGAUAACUAGGGGAAACCUUAGCUAAUACCGAAUAGUCUGCUGAGGCGAAUGCCGAUGCAGUAAAGCCAUUAGGCGCGGGACGAUCGGCCUAACUCCUAUCAGCUAGUUGGUAGGGUAACGGCCUACCAAGGCUAUGACGGGUAGCUGGUCUGAGAGGAUGGUCAGCCACACUGGCACUGAGACACGGGCCAGACUCCUACGGGAGGCAGCAGUUAGGAAUCUUGCGCAAUGGGCGAAAGCCUGACGCAGCGACGCCGCGUGAGGGAAGAAGGCCUUCGGGCUGUAAACCUCUUUCGGCAGGGAACACUAAAGAUAGUACCUGCAGAAGAAGCCCCGGCUAACUACGUGCCAGCAGCCGCGGUAAAACGUAGGGGGCGAGCGUUACUCGGAAUGACUGGGCGUAAAGGGUGUGUAGGCGGCUUCCUAAGUCCGAUGUGAAAGCCCUAGACUCAAUCUAGGAACUGCAUCGGAUACUGGGUUGCUAGAGUGCCAGAGGGGGGAACGGAAUUCCCGGUGUAGAGGUGAAAUUCGUAGAUAUCGGGAGGAACACCGAAGGCGAAGGCGGUUCCCUGGCUGGUUACUGACGCUUAGACACGAAAGCGUGGGGGAGCAAACAGGAUUAGAUACCCCUGGUAGUCCACGCCCUAAACGAUCACCACUAGAUGUCGGGCUACUUUNNUCGGCUCGGUGUCGAAGCUAACGCNUUAGUGGUGCGCCUGGGGAUUACGGGCCGCAAGG